UAUUGAAUUUGUUGAAUACCUGGCAUACAAAAAAGCUGUUGAACAUCAGAGUCUCAAAUACCUUCUCCCUAAGCCCAAGAAUUGUAGGCCCUUUAGACUGCAUGGUUACCAACAGAGACACCUGGUAAGCUGUUUGCAUGAAAAUAUUCACCCACAUGGCCUUGGUAAAGAGUUGUCCAUCUUGUCCUGGUGUGAAUUUCUUCAUGAGCAUCUCAUGGGGGGCUCCAUCAAAAGAGCCAAACCACCUAGAGGAGUCAAAACUGAGAUUGUCCAUUGGAACUGAAUCGUCGUUAUAGGUGAACUUCCAUGAGAGGCAUUUGUGAUUAAGAGUAUCAAUGACCCAGCUAAGGUCAUAGUUAGCUGAAACUGGAUGUACUUUCGCAUGUUAGUGUAUAUGCAUAUUCCAAACUUAAUUAUGGCUCAAAUGGAUGUGAAAUUGCCUUCCGUGAUGACAAUGUUAGUGCUCCUUCUUGCAAUGUCAGUGCUCCUAGUAGCAAAUGUGAGUCCCACAUCAGCAGCUUUUAGCAUGGGAAUGUCAUUUGUUCUAUUUCCGACCACUGCAACUUUGUGUCCUUGAAUUUUCAGGCUACCGAGUACAAGGAGCCGAUCUUUCGGGAGGGAGUUCCCCAUCACAGAAAAUCUAGUUGCCAUAUCCAUUUUCUUAUCAUCAGAGCUACUCCGAAAUUCUUCACCUGCUAUAACCAGUGCAUCUGAAUCAGGCUGUAUCACUCCAAACGCUGUAGCAAUGUUCUUAAGCAUUGAAACCUCCUCGCUCGAUACUAGUAAUACUUUAAUCCGGCUUCUCUGCAUUCUUCUAUCACCUCUCUCGUAUCUUCCCAGCCAGUCCUCUUCAGCCCCAACAGUCCCAGCAUUGUUAGAUUGCCUUCAUCAGACCUAGAGUCAUCAACUUGCAUACAAGCGAAUGCGAUGAAUUCAAAACCUUUUGACAGCAUUUGCUUAAUUCGACCUUCAAAAUUUAUCUUUUCACUUCUAUCCAUGGGCCUUGUUUUGCCUUCAAUGUCAUAAAAUCGUGAACACGUGUCUAAUAUUAUUGUUGCAGGUCCUCUGAAGUGCAAGGACCUCGGCCCGUUACCUCCACUCUUUGCAAUCAAUGCUGCGACUAUGUUCUCAUUGUGGGUUGGCUGUUUGAACUUAAUGAUACUGUGACGUUGCUUCCAGAUAUCCAGUUUGAAUCCAUUGCAUGGCUCCAAAGAAGUUUCCGCUUGACUUGCAUGAGAAAAUGAUAAGGAGGCGUGUCAGCUGAGAGAGUGGAUAGGAGGAGAAAUGACAGGAAUCGUUGAAGGGUCAUCAUCCGCUUGAUAGAAUUAGCAUAAUGCAGCCUACAUGGCCUUGAAUUGUUGUGGGGUGUAUCUGAUUUUUUUUGGCUAUGGGCUCUUUCCCUUCCUUUUUAAUGGAGAGUUUGAUGAUUUUUGCUGCAAAGGUUACAUUCCUGAAUUAACUUACUGAGGUAUUGUCCGUCGUGGCCUGUCCCAUACCGUGUCUCAUAAUUUUGUCCUUUCAUGUACAAGUGAGCACCUUCCCAAGAGGCUACCCAUCCUAAGAGUGCUCCCACCUGAACACAUAUAAAGUUAAGCAUUGUCGUUACUUCAAAAGACACAUCUAUGAGUUAAUUCCA
RNAcentral lists this long non-coding RNA (1636 nucleotides) under Eucalyptus grandis. Its description in RNAcentral is "long non-coding RNA (EGRA_LNC003309)". The record is from RNAcentral. Lineage: Eukaryota; Viridiplantae; Streptophyta; Magnoliopsida; Myrtales; Myrtaceae.